Non-coding RNA from Gossypium hirsutum (cotton), 143 nucleotides. The record is from Rfam. Lineage: Eukaryota; Viridiplantae; Streptophyta; Magnoliopsida; Malvales; Malvaceae.
UUUUAAGUUUCAUUCAUUUUUACUGUUAAAAAUUAGUGUGGUUGAUAUAUAACUAGACAGUUACAAGCAGCUUACCAUGUGUAUGUCAUUUUAAUCUAUAAAAACUAUAUUUUUAAUAGUAAAAAUAAAUGAAAUAUUUAAUA